CAUAUCAAUAAGCGGAGGAAAAGAAACUAACAAGGAUUCCCCUAGUAACGGCGAGUGAAGAGGGAAGAGCCCAAGAUUGAAAGCUGGCGCCUUCGGCGUCCGCAUUGUAAUCUCAAGAAGUGUUUUCCGCUUCGGACCAUGCCUAAGUCCCUUGGAAAAGGGCAUCAUAGAGGGUGAUAAUCCCGUACAUGGCAUGGAGCGCCCGAAGCUUUGUGAUACGCUUUCUAAGAGUCGAGUUGUUUGGGAAUGCAGCUCAAAAUGGGUGGUAAAUGCCAUCUAAGGCUAAAUAUUGGGGAGAGACCGAUAGCGAACAAGUACAGUGAUGGAAAGAUGAAAAGAACUUUGAAAAGAGAGUUAAACAGUACGUGAAAUUGCCAAAAGGGAAGGGUAGGAGGUCAGAGAUGCGGCUUGGGAUUCAGCCUUGCUUCUGCAUGGUGUUUUUCCCUGGUUGCAGGCCAACGUCGGUUUUGGGCACUGGAGAAGGGUGGAAGGAACGUGGCACCUCUCGGGGUGUGUUAUAGCCUUCCACUGGAUACAGCGACCGAGACCGAGGACAGCAGCGUACUCGCAAGAGCGGGCCCUCGUGGCACCUUUACGCUUAGGGCGUUGGCAUAAUGGCCCUCUACCACCCGUCUUGAAACACGGAC
RNAcentral lists this ribosomal RNA (647 nucleotides) under Anomalomyces yakirrae. RNAcentral's name for it is "LSU rRNA". It matches the Rfam family "Eukaryotic large subunit ribosomal RNA", at positions 39 to 666 of the family's 3401-position model. Lineage: Eukaryota; Fungi; Basidiomycota; Ustilaginomycetes; Ustilaginales. The record is from RNAcentral.